Molecule: long non-coding RNA, 1743 nt
Organism: Triticum urartu
Lineage: Eukaryota; Viridiplantae; Streptophyta; Magnoliopsida; Poales; Poaceae
Source: RefSeq, a predicted model, not a curated record
CGUGCAACUUUUCUUCCACCUCCAUCACAUCUCUCUCUCACAGUAACUCUCGGCGAGGAGCACACAUGGCCACCAUGGCCACGGCACCGCGCCCGCUCCUCCUAUUAAACCCCCACGCUUCGUCCUAGGGUUCGCCCCUCCUCCUCUCUUCCUCCUCGCGCCGCCGCCAGGUAAGCAGCCAGUUCCACCGCGCCUCAUCCCCCAAGCCCGACGCCAUGGCCGGGAGGAGCCAGGGCUCUCCUCCGGCGUAGCAAGCUCUCCGCCGACUCCUUCUUCCUCCACGCGUAUCGCGACGCCGCCGCGACUCCGUUUCGCGUCCUCCCCGAGCCGGAUCGCCAAGUUCAGCGCCCUGUCUACCUCCCCUGCUUCGUCUUCUUCACGGAGCCGAGCUUCACCACGAUCAGCGCGUCCUCGAGUCCUCUCCGUCGCGUCUCCAGCCGCCUCGUAUUUUCCUACGGGACCUAGAAACAGUUGUUAGCCAAGAUGGGAUCUUUCCGGGAUCUUCUGAUCAAGAUACGCGUGUUCAAGAUGCUCGGAUCUUUUCAAGAUCUUCUGGUUAAGAUGUUGGCGUUCAUCGGCGGCAUUACGAGCCUGUUUCUCAUUGGCAACAGCGUGUCGGAUCCAUCAUCGGUGAUCGAGACACUCCGCAGCCUCAACGCUACAUCCGUAAUAUGCGACGCCAAACAAGUGGCCCAUCACUACAAGAAUCUGGCUUUUGAUGUCACUUUUCUUGCCAUCGCAAUGGCCCUCGCAGCUUGCAUCAUUUAUCUUGUCAAAAUCAUCGUUGAUGCCCGUGCCCAAGAAGAAGAGCAAGAGCAACGCGAGGCCGAUCCCGCCGCUGCCGCGCAGGCUGCCGUUGUUCGCACUCUCGCAGCUAAUGCUUCUGCGGUCGCCUCAAAUGCCGAAGCAAAGGCUGUCCAGGCCGAAGCGGACGCCAAGCGCGUCGUCGCGGAGAUGCGCGCCGCCUAAGACAACGCCCUUGAUGCCAAAAAGAUCACCAGAUCCGAAGCUAAUGAUGCAAUCAGAGUUGCCCAAGCUGCCGAUGAGAACUUGGCCCAAGCCAAGGCCAACCCUGCCGGCGACGAUGUUGCCUCGCAGAAGAAGAUCGAGGACUUGGAGAUGGCUGCCGACGAGGCGGCUAAGGCGGCAACUCAGGCCGAGGAUACAGCUGCAAAGGCCGACAAGGAGCUCAACCUCAUUGACAAGGAUCUCAAGGAAGCAAAGGACGAGGUGAAGCGGAAGGCCGAUGCGACUCGGGCUGCCAAGAAAGACGCCGAGGCUGCAAAGAAGACCGCCGACGCCGCCAAACCCAAGACCGGUAUGGCCCGUUUCCCUUUCUGGAAGAGGUUGACUCUGCGUGUGCUCUUUGUGUUUGCCACCAUAGUAUGCUUGUACGCUUGCGUUGUCGCAAUCUUUUCUUUCACGGAGCUGCUUGACUACAAGACCGAUUGUAUUCGCUUCGAGGGCGAUUCAGGAAGUCGCCGUGUUACCCGUACAGCCUUGUCAAUCUGCAAGUACAUGUUGUUGGUGGCAUUCUGCUGCCUCCAUCUCAUGAUCCUUCUCGGGGGUUGUUACAAGGAUUGAGUAUGGCAGAUAGAUGAUAAUGAUGUAGUGUAUGGGAGAUAGAUGAUAAUGAUGUAGUGUGAUCAAUCCCGUGUUGUGUUGUCCAUUAGGCAUGUGGUGUUUCUGUCAGCAAUUCUAUGGACUGGAUGGUGAGUGUAAGUUGGAGGUUCUACCGUCUCC